This 253-nucleotide ribosomal RNA is filed under the name uncultured bacterium. Its description in RNAcentral is "partial 16S ribosomal RNA". It matches the Rfam family "Bacterial small subunit ribosomal RNA", at positions 524 to 776 of the family's 1533-position model. The record is from RNAcentral.
UACGUAGGGUGCGAGCGUUAAUCGGAAUUACUGGGCGUAAAGCGUGCGCAGGCGGUUCCGCAAGUCAGAUGUGAAAUCCCCGGGCUCAACCUGGGAACUGCAUUUGAAACUACGGGGCUAGAGUGUGUCAGAGGGGGGUAGAAUUCCACAUGUAGCAGUGAAAUGCGUAGAGAUGUGGAGGAAUACCGAUGGCGAAGGCAGCCCCCUGGGAUGACACUGACGCUCAUGCACGAAAGCGUGGGGAGCAAACAGG